Molecule: ribosomal RNA, 554 nt
Filed under: uncultured bacterium
Lineage: Bacteria
Description: partial 16S ribosomal RNA
Rfam family: Bacterial small subunit ribosomal RNA
Source: RNAcentral
UGGGGAAUAUUGCACAAUGGGCGCAAGCCUGAUGCAGCCAUGCCGCGUGUAUGAAGAAGGCCUUCGGGUUGUAAAGUACUUUCAGCGGGGAGGAAGGCGAUGAGGUUAAUAACCCUGUCGAUUGACGUUACCCGCAGAAGAAGCACCGGCUAACUCCGUGCCAGCAGCCGCGGUAAUACGGAGGGUGCAAGCGUUAAUCGGAAUUACUGGGCGUAAAGCGCACGCAGGCGGUCUGUUAAGUCAGAUGUGAAAUCCCCGGGCUUAACCUGGGAACUGCAUUUGAAACUGGCAGGCUUGAGUCUUGUAGAGGGGGGCUAGAAUUCCAGGUGUAGCGGUGAAAUGCGUAGAGAUCUGGAGGAAUACCGGUGGCGAAGGCGGCCCCCUGGACAAAGACUGACGCUCAGGUGCGAAAGCGUGGGGCAGCAAACAGGAUUAGAUACCCUGGUAGUCCACGCCGUAAACGAUGUCGACUUGGAGGUUGUUCCCUUGAGGAGUGGCUUCCGGAGCUAACGCGUUAAGUCGACCGCCUGGGGAGUACGGCCGCAAGGUUAAAA